This 300-nucleotide ribosomal RNA is filed under the name uncultured Haloterrigena sp. RNAcentral describes it as "bacterial SSU rRNA". It matches the Rfam family "Bacterial small subunit ribosomal RNA", at positions 496 to 795 of the family's 1533-position model. Lineage: Archaea; Methanobacteriati; Methanobacteriota; Halobacteria; Halobacteriales; Natrialbaceae. The record is from RNAcentral.
GCUAAUACGGGGUCGGCAGGUGCGUGAAGUAGUGGGGUGCGAGGGUGAGACAGAAUGAAUUGGCGUAAAGAGUACCAAGGUGGUUAUGUAAGACAGGGGGGAAAUCCCCGGGCUCAACCUGGGAACUGCCUGUGGGACUGCAAGGCUAGAGUGCGGCAGAGGGGGAUGGAAUUCCGCGUGAAGCAGUGAAAUGCGUAGAUAUGCGGAGGAGCACCGAUGGCGAAGGCAAUCCCCUGGGCUUGCACUGACGCUCAUGCAUGAAAGCGUGGGGAGCAAACAGGAUUAGAUACCCGAGUAGUC